Molecule: ribosomal RNA, 367 nt
Filed under: uncultured Alphaproteobacteria bacterium
Lineage: Bacteria; Pseudomonadati; Pseudomonadota; Alphaproteobacteria
Description: bacterial SSU rRNA
Rfam family: Bacterial small subunit ribosomal RNA
Source: RNAcentral
GCCGCGUGAGUGAUGAAGGCCUUCGGGUUGUAAAGCUCUUUCGACCGGGACGAUAAUGACGGUACCCGUAGAAUAAGCCCCGGCUAACUUCGUGCCAGCAGCCGCGGUAAUACGAAGGGGGCUAGCGUUGUUCGGAAUUACUGGGCGUAAAGGGCGCGUAGGCGGUUUGGUAAGUCAGGUGUGAAAUCCCCGGGCUCAACUCGGGGGCUGCACCCGAGACUGCCGCGCUUGAGUGCGGGAGAGGUGAGUGGAAUUCCCGGUGUAGAGGUGAAAUGCGUAUAUAUUGGGAAGAACACCAGUGGCGAAAGCGGCUAGCUGGACCGUUACUGACGCUGAGGCGCGAAAGCGUGGGGAGCAAACAGGAUUA